This 62-nucleotide transfer RNA is filed under the name Apaloderma vittatum (bar-tailed trogon). Lineage: Eukaryota; Metazoa; Chordata; Aves; Trogoniformes; Trogonidae. The record is from Rfam by way of RNAcentral.
UAGCUCAGUGGGUUGAGCACGGUGCUGACUGAAAACACUGUGGUCGCGGGUUUGAUUCCCGC